This is a non-coding RNA of Phoenix dactylifera (date palm), 424 nucleotides long. Lineage: Eukaryota; Viridiplantae; Streptophyta; Magnoliopsida; Arecales; Arecaceae. The record is from RefSeq and is a predicted model, not a curated record.
CCUCGGAUCCGUGGGUUUACUCACGGAUUUCUCCACCGAUUCCUCGCCGGAAGGGUCGCCGGAGCAUCCCGUCGGACUGAGAGGCACUGGAUUCGUAGAAUCUGUCGAGUAGGACAAGAAGUGAGCUCGAUCUGGAGUCAGACUGCUAGAUAGAUAGAAGUUAAUUGAUCUUUUGCUUAUGGACAUUUGAAUUUAUGUAAUUAUUCAGUACAUUUUAUUUGGUUUGGUUUAAAUACAUUGAUUAUGGAUUAUUUGGAAUUUUUGUUUAUCUUAGGCCUCGCAUGAUCUUUAGGGUACUGAUCUAGGGCUCAUGCGGCCGGUCACGUACCGGACCCGGAUGAUGGGUUCGGGGCGUGACACGAAUAAACAAGUUGCUACAUAUACGUACACAGUUUUUUAGUAGUAGACAUCUCAUUUUCCAUUC